RNAcentral lists this ribosomal RNA (365 nucleotides) under unidentified activated sludge bacterium AI208. RNAcentral's name for it is "bacterial SSU rRNA". It matches the Rfam family "Bacterial small subunit ribosomal RNA", at positions 955 to 1320 of the family's 1533-position model. The record is from RNAcentral.
UGCAACGCGAAAAACCUUACCCACCUUUGACAUGUACGGAACUCGCCAGAGAUGGCUUGGUGCUCGAAAGAGAACCGUAACACAGGUGCUGCAUGGCUGUCGUCAGCUCGUGUCGUGAGAUGUUGGGUUAAGUCCCGCAACGAGCGCAACCCUUGUCAUUAGUUGCUACAUUUAGUUGGGCACUCUAAUGAGACUGCCGGUGACAAACCGGAGGAAGGUGGGGAUGACGUCAAGUCCUCAUGGCCCUUAUAGGUGGGGCUACACACGUCAUACAAUGGCUGGUACAAAGGGUUGCCAACCCGCGAGGGGGAGCUAAUCCCAUAAAACCAGUCGUAGUCCGGAUCGCAGUCUGCAACUCGACUGCG